ACGUAUGACUACAUAUAUAAAUAUACAGGUAAAUAAUUUCCGUGCGCUGUCGAGCUCGGUUUUAUUAACUCUAGUUUACAAACGGCAUUGGUAUGGAAGGUAAUUACUUUGAUAAAAUCAACAACGACCUAUUACUCAACUAAAUGUUUAUAAUUAUGUAGUUAUUGAUUGGUUCCGUUGAGUAACAAGUUUAAAUAUUAUUUUAAGUAAUUAAAGAGUUAAAAAAGAGUUAUAUUUUCAUGCAUUAUUAUAAUUAUCAAUGUUAAAUUAAUAUAGAUCUAAAUAAUUUAAUUAAUUUAUAAAAAUAACUUUACUUUUUCUAAGUACAAUAAUUGUCAAGGAAAAAAGUCAACUAAUUGCAGACGAGAAAUAAUAUAAAACUUUUUCGAGGUUAAGAAAAGAAAAGUGAAGAUACGUAAAUAUAAAAAUUUGCAGCUGAUAACUAAUGUUGUCGAUUAAUUAUUGAAGAGCUUUAAAAUCUUAGUUCUUAUGUAAACAGACAAUAUUUAUUAUACGGAUACAUAUACAGGUAUGUGUAUGUAUACAUGGAGGGACAUUCUGAAACCCGGAGUUUGCAAUUAAUCCAGAACGAGUCGUUACACUAAGUUAUGAGAUGAAAAUUUAAAAAACAGUCCUCCAAGAUAACAGAAAAUAAGAGUUAAGAGUAAGAAUAUACGAAGGUGGCAUACAAAUCCAACACGUUUGAAUCUUUCAUUUGCUCUUUGCUUCCACCAUCACAGAGUGUUGAUUUAAUUCAAUGAGUUCCCGUCAUAAGUCACGAGUCUACUUUACCUGUUUCGCAUUACUCAAAUAUUUAACUUCUACGGAUAAAACAAAAAAAAUAAAUCUCUUAUUAAAAAAUGUUGAAAAUUUUUUAAGAUUAUCAUUAUAAUUUUCUUAAGAAGUAAAACUUUUAUUUAAGCUUAACACUUAAUACUUAUUUUUCCGAGUACGAAGCCUUCUGGGACUCACGUAAAUUUUCUAUGAAUAUUCAGCGAAUCGUUAAGUGUACAUAUAAUCUUCGAUACUUAAUCGAACUUGUUACAGAGUCAAGUAUACUACCAGCGAAUAAAUUACUGGGUAUUAAUUACAAGGAUUUAAUAAAGAUAUACAUAGUAGUGAAAGGAAUAAUAAUUAAGAAGAAAUUCGUAGAAUAAAA
Cotesia glomerata is the source of this 1159-nucleotide long non-coding RNA. RefSeq lists it as uncharacterized. The transcript is spliced from 3 exons. The record is from RefSeq and is a predicted model, not a curated record. NCBI's taxonomy places the organism in Eukaryota, Metazoa, Arthropoda, Insecta, Hymenoptera, Braconidae.